This 94-nucleotide microRNA precursor is filed under the name Canis lupus familiaris (dog). RNAcentral describes it as "mir-8834 microRNA precursor family". It matches the Rfam family "mir-8834 microRNA precursor family". The record is from Rfam by way of RNAcentral. Lineage: Eukaryota; Metazoa; Chordata; Mammalia; Carnivora; Canidae.
AGGAGGAACAGCCCCAGUGGCGGGGCAGCUCUGGAAAUCUGGAUUCAGCUCCGGCAGGAACUCCGUCUGCAGGGCCUGGAGGCUCCGGGCGGGG